This 12661-nucleotide long non-coding RNA is filed under the name Gossypium barbadense (sea-island cotton). RNAcentral's name for it is "long non-coding RNA (GBAR_LNC016602)". The record is from RNAcentral. Lineage: Eukaryota; Viridiplantae; Streptophyta; Magnoliopsida; Malvales; Malvaceae.
UACUAACUAACAAUGGAGUUGCAGAUAUCCUUAUUCCAGGUCCUCAUCACCUUCUUCCUGGUUUUGUUUAUGGCAGCAAUCACUAGUAUGAGGAAAUCUAAAGCUAGGAAUUUAACUCAAGGGUUGAUUCCAGGGCCACGGAAAUUACCUUUGAUCGGAAAUCUGCACCAGCUCGCCGGUCCUGGUUUACCCCAUCACACCCUACGUGACUUGGCUACGAAAUAUGGCGCCAUCAUGCACCUGCAACUCGGUCAAAUUUCCACUGUCGUCGUUUCUUCUGCAGAAAUGGCUAAAGAGAUUAUGAAAACCCAUGAUAUUGUCUUUGCUAAUAGGCCUGUUCUCGCUUCGGCUAAGAUUAUAACUUACGGGUGCACUGAUAUUGUCUUUUCACCAUAUGGAAACUAUUGGAGAAAUCUGCGAAAAAUUUGCACAUCGGAGCUUCUGAAUGCGACUCGGGUCGCUUCCUUCCAAUCCAUAAGAGAAGAGGAAGUGCUGAAUCUCGUCGAAACCAUAAAAUCAAAUGAAGGAUCGGCUGUAAAUCUGAGCCGCAAAGUCUUUUCACUGAGUUAUGGCAUAACAGCGAGGGCAGCCUUUGGCAAGAAAUGCAAAGAUCAAGAAGCCUUCAUAUCAGUUGUUACAGAGGAAACCAAGGUGAAUUCUAGUUUCUUUGUUUCCGAACUUUUUCCUUCACUUAAAUUUCUGGAUACUGUUUUGGGUCAAAAGCAUAAAGUUGAAAAGAUUCAUGGAGAAGCUGACAUGAUACUUGGGAAUAUUGUUAACGAUCACAAAGAAAGUAGAGCAAAAGGCAGAAGUAAAGAUGAAAACAAGGAAAAUCUGGUUGAUGUUCUUUUAAGGAUUCAGGAGGAUGGUGAAUUUCCCUUGACUGACAACAACGUCAAAGCCGUCAUCUUAGUGAGUCCAUUUUCUUUUAUUACAUUGACCUGGAUUUUGGUAGUUGUUCACAAAUUUUAAUGGCCAUGAUGUUAUUUAUUAUGUUGUUUUAGGACAUUUUCAGUGCCGGAAGUGAGACAUCAGCAGGAGCUGUAGAGUGGGCAUUGUCGGAAAUGAUUAAAAACCCAAGAGUUAUGACAAAAGCACAAGCAGAGGUAAGGCAGGUAUUCCAAGGCAAAGGAAAUGUAGAUGAAACAGGCAUUCAUCAACUUAAAUAUCUCAAGUGUGUUAUAAAAGAAACCUUAAGACUGCACCCUGUUAUACCUUUAUUGAUUCCAAGAGAAAGUAUGAAGAAUUGUGUGGUUAAUGGAUUUGAAAUACCUGCAAAGACCAGAGUCAUUGUGAAUGCAUGGGCAAUCGGGAGAGAUCCUAAUCAUUGGGUUGAGCCUGAAAAGUUUGAGCCUGAAAGGUUUGUCAACAGUUCAGUUGAUUUCAUAGGGACAAAUUUCGAGUUCAUCCCAUUUGGGGCAGGAAGGAGGGUAUGUCCAGGCAUAUUAUUUGCUCUGCCAACUGUAGAGCUACCGCUUGCUCAACUGUUGUUCCAUUUUGAUUGGAAGCUACCAAGGGGAAUGAAGCAGGAAGAUAUAGACAUGACUGAGGUGUUUGGUGUAUCUGUGAGAAGGAAAAAUGAUCUUGUCCUAGUUCCAAGUCUUUACCGUGCUUCCACUACUGUUGCCUAGAGGCAGGAACAACCUUAGCUUAUGCUGCAUUAUUCUAUUAGGUAGGGAUUGAAUCUCAAAGUUGUUUGUUUGCUUAUAUAUGUAUUGUUAUUUAGCCUAAUAGCCCACCACUUUAUAUUUGUAUUUAUAGCCGACGCUAUCAGUGUUCAUGCUUCUUGUGCAUGGUAAAUGUAACUGUAAGGGCCAAUUUCGUCCGGCUAUCAGAGGCGGCGGUCUCUGUUGCCAAUGACCGACGGUCAAGGUGAAGCCCCACCGCCCCUAUGACCGACCUGGGGAUAAUGAGAGAAAAGAAAAAACGAAGGAAGUUAAAAAAAAAAAAAGAACAGAGCACAAAAUUUUUUUUUUCAAAUUUUUUUAACUUAAAUAGGGUGUGUAUAACACCCCUUACCCGAGAAUGUCACCGGAAUCGAGUACGAGAUGUCAUCCAAUUUAACUUACCAAAUUGGAGCAUAAAAAUUUGCUUUUAAAAUUAAAUUUACUAUUCACAACAAAACUGUCCACCUGCGCGACUGUCGCUAAUUUAAUUAUAUCUUGAGUUACAAAACCCAAAAUUUAAAUCCGUAAAUUUUCCCUGAAACUAGACUCAUAUACCUUCUUACCAUAAAAUUUUUAGAAUUUUUGGUUUAGCAAAUUAGUACAGUUUAUUCAUUAAAAUCUCCCCUGUUUCACUACUUGACAGUUCUGACCUCUUGGCACUAAAAAUAAAUUAUAUCAUUGUAAAGAAUUAAUAUAAGGUUAUCAUUUGUUUCUUUUGAAAAUAGACUCAUUAAGGAAUCUAGACAUAUAAAUUAUGACCUAUAAUUAUUUCUGUACAAUUUAUAAUGAUUUUCUAAAUUCAGAACAGGGGACUUCAAAAACCAUUCUGACCCUGUCUCACUUAAAUUCAAAUAUCUCAAAAUAUAAAAUUCCUUUGCCUACACCGUUUCUUUCAUGUAAAAAUAGACUUGAUAAGCUUUAAUUCUAUAUAUCAUUCACUCUCUAAUUCCAUUUCUACUAUUUAUAGUUAUCAUUUACCCAUACAUAACACCAAAACAGUCUUUACUAACCAUUUCAAUAACUAAUCUUAGCCAUAUCAUAUGAACAUACUCAAAAUGAUUAAGACUCUAUACAUGCCAUAGCUUUAAAUGUUUUAAAAACACAUAAUACCUAGAUAUCUGUUGAUAGUGUGAUACGAGCUCCGACGAUCUCCAAUUCGAGCAAGCUCGAAACACUAUAAAACAAGGGAAAAGAAAAAGGUAUAAGCUACUAAUAGCUUAGUAAGUUACAUGUAAAUAAUAGGUACUCAUUUAAUAAUUAACACUUUUAACAUAUAACUAAUCAAAACAUUUCUUAGCAAUUUCAAUCACUUACACAUGCACAAUCUUACCAAUUCACUUGCAUAUACAUUUUCACACUUAACCUUUAUCACAUAUGCUCAUUUUUUCAAUUGUACCAGCAUACACACUUCAUUUCAUAUUCACUUUAACUCAUUAUUAAUCCCAUUGAAUACUCGAAAUAUACACGGAUACGUAGAGAAUUAGCACAUAAGUGCCACACUAAUAUGUAGCCGAAGCUACCACUGAUAUGUAGCCGCAGCUACCACUGAAAUGUAGCCGAAGCUACCACUGAUCAAUAACACUGGAAAUGUCCACGGGCCUGCUCACACAAGCUGUCAGGUGUCUGCAACACAUGCUAGAUCACCCAGCACCCGGGACUCACUGUAACACUGUAACACUGAUCUCUAGUGACAUGUCACUUGUAUCCACUUCUAUUCAUAAGUUCAACCGGGAAUUUACACUUAACACUUUAUCACUUGAAUAAUUCAUGAACAAUUUUCCUUCCACAUUCAAUAUUGAUUCACAUAUCAAUGUAAUUCACAAUUUAUAAAAAUAUAUUGCUAUUAUCUACACAUAACUUACCUCGGAUGCAAAAUGACUAUUUUUGUAAAUUAGUCGAUAACCUUCUCUUUUCCCCGAUCACUUCCACUAUUUCUUCUUUCUUGAUCUAUAUUAACCCAAUUUAAUGCAUUUUAUCAAUAUUUCAUUCAAAUACAACUCAUACACAAUAUUUUGACGAACUUACAUUUUUUUCCAUAACUUUUUAAAAAUUCUACUUUUGUCCCAAAGCUCGUAAAAAUAAAAUUCACUAAAUUCUUAAAUUUCAAACUUCACUAAAUCAAUUUCAUGCUCAUAACAGCCCCCAAUUUCAUAAAAUCACAACUUCAUGCACACUUUACCAUCUUUCACAAUUUAGUCCAUUUUCAACAUUUUCAUUGAAAUUCAUCUAGUAAAACUUGUAAUUAACACUUCAAACAAUCAUUAUCUAACAUCACUAAUCAAUUUACAAUUAUAUCAUGAAUGGGUCAAUUUUUAAACUUUAAUUUCAUUUAAAUUAAAUGGUAGAAACAUGAAAUUCAAGCUUCAAUAAGCAUAAAAAUACGAAAAUAAUUAAAAACGGGGCAAGAAAUCACUUAUAAUUGAGCUUAGAAAAUCAAGAACCCUAGCUAUGGUGACAUGAAUUUUUUUUUGGCAGAAAACGUCUGAUUUUGAAGAAGAUGGACACUUAUUUUCACUUUAUUUUGUCUUUUUCUCAAUUUGGACAAAAAUGCCCUUGACCCAUUACUUAGAUAUUUUCCUAGAAUUACCCUUUUGUGUCCAUAACACUAAUUUAUUGUCUAGUUGUCACAUAAACACUUCCAAUUUCAUGCAAUAAUUCAAUUAAGUCAUUUAAUCACUAAUUAGACACACUUUACAUUUUUCUCAAUUUAGUCCUAAAAAUUCAAUUAGGCACUAAAUCAUUAAAAUUUCCAAUCCAUAUUUUCACACAAUAUUCCAAUCAAUCACUAACUAAUAAAAAUUUAUAAAAUUAAACUAUUUCACUUCGGAUUUGUGGUUACGAAACUACUAUUCCGGUUAGGCCCUAUUUCGGGAUAUCACAGUGUGCGACACGACACCAUUUGGUCUCAAAAGCCCCAAAAAAACGUCGUUUUUAUAUAGCCUGAAGACUCAACCCGCGUGCUUUUUUAAGGACGGGAUAAUUUCUGCCUAAGUCCUUCCACUUUUAGGCACUUUCAAUGUUGUCUUGAAUUUGAUUUUCUUUUUCUUUUUAAAUUCCACAAUUUAAUUUAAUUUUUUUUUAUUUUUGGUCCUCUUACCGUUGACCCUUUGGGGAGUGACACAUGUAUAGAGGAUUAGGAUAAUUGUCCUUUUAAUCCCUACAUUUUAAUUUAUUUUAAUUUAUCCUUUUUUUGUUUUUCUUGUCAUUUAUACUUUCAGUUUCAUUUAGUCUCAAUUUAGUUUUUUAUUUAUUUAAUUCACCCCCUUUAUUUUCGGCUUUUUAAUUUCCAGCACUUUUAAUUUAUGACUAUUUACAUUUUGGCCCCUUUAAAUUAUGCAAUUUUUAUUUUCAUCCUUGAGUGGUUAUAUUUUUUAAUUUUUGUCAUUAAAUAUGGUGUUAAUUAUGUCAUGGUUAUAAUUACUAUUAUUACUAUUAUUAAUAUCAUGUUAUUAUUAUCGUCAUUGACUAUUUUACCCUCAUUACCAUUACUACAUUCAUUUUAUUCUUUUAUUAUAAUAUUAUUUCAUUUGUAUCUAUGUAGCUAUUUUAUUUUUGCCAUUAUUUUAUUGUAUAUUAUGCUUACAUACACUUGUUUAUUUUGUACCACGCUCAAAUAAGUUAAUCGCAUGUAGCAUUAGUGUAGCAUCGGUUUUUGAACAAUGCAUAAGUAAUCUUUAAAAUCGAGGCAAUGUUCUUUAUCUAGAGGACCCGAGAAGUUGUGCCCCUAACUCAUGGGGUAUGACAUUUUCCUCAAACCAAUGUAAUUGAACAUCCUUAUUAAGAUCAAAAUUUAUAAGGUUUAAAUAAAAAUUAGACGAUAAAUACUCUUUAUUCUCGGGGAUUCAUGAUGUUGUGCCCCUAACUUACGGGACACAACCCUUAUUCUUAGUUGACUCGAAAUAUAAGAGGUCGCAUUUUAAAUUCUUCUCAAAUUCUCAAUUUUCGACAGUAAGACAUCAAUCAACUAGGUACCAAUUUUGGGCAUUAUGAGGGUACUAAUCCUUCCUCAUACGUAAUUGACUCCCGAACCUACUUCCUAGAUUUUGUAGACCGAAAAUCACUGUUUUAGUAAUUUUACUAUUUUAUUAAAAUGAUUAAAUUUCGAAGUAAUCCAAUCACACCUUGAUAAAAAGAUUGGUGGCGACUCUGUCUUCGUAUUAAAAUAAAAGUUGGGAGGCAAGGAAAAGGUUUCGACAAUAACAUUAUUAUUUCUAUAUUUGUUUAAUGUUGGUAGCAGUAUUUGUGUUGUGCUCGUAUUUUCCUUUUAUAUUUGUUAUUCUCUGAAAGCAGAAGGAGGGUUGGUGGAAGGAGUUUAUUUUUGUGGAUCAUUAUUCAUUUCAAUACAUAGAGGGGGUUAAUUCCUUUGUUGACUUAAUUCGCGUUUCCAACAGUGCUAUGUUAAUCGCUUGGUCUUUCCUCCUCUCCGUUACCACCCUAUAGUUUCUUUCCCCUUUUUUGCCUUUAACGUGCUUAAGUUGUGGAAUUGAAUAAAAGACUUGUAGAUCAGAAUUGAGUACUGAAAUAUGAAGUUGCUAAAUAAAAGUAUAACUUAUAAAGAUAAUUUUUUUAAAUAGGUUAUUAUCAUAUAUGUUUUUUUUUUCUUUUUUUGUAUAAUGUUUCGGCGCAUUUUCAAUCCAUGUACUCUUACACUAGUAUUAAUGCCUAAAUCAAUCGAAUUAAAACUCAAUCGGUAAAGCUAAAUCAUUUUUAUUUUGGGAUAAUAGGUGAUAAUAUCACAAAUUAAAAAAAUUUUAAAUUUAAUGUGAUUGAAAUAAUAUUUAAAUUUGAAUAUUUUUGUUGAGACAGAUUUUAAGUAGUGGCUGGACCAAUGUCAACUGAUUGGUACUAUUUACUUAGAAAACUUGCCAUCGUUAAAAUUAACUAUAUCUUGGAUGACAAUUAGUCCAUUCUUAAUAUUUAAAUGAAAGAUAGCAUUUAUUUGAAUUUGAAUAAAAGGAAUCAACUUCUUAAAUUUAGGUAGAAGUUGAAAGUAUUUACUGAAGAUUCAAGACUUAUCUUAAGUAAUUUUGAAGGUAUUAUUUAUGUAUAUUAUUAUGCUAGUUUCAAGGAAAGAUUGAUUGUAAUUGAUGUGAUAUACCAGCAUGUCUAAAUUACUUAUAUAUUGUUGUGACGUGUAUAAGUUAUACACCAAAUUAAGAGCACUUUAUUUUGUUCAUUUUUUAAGGGGGAAAACUUAGAGGAGAGUUGUUUGGAUCUUAAGUACAAAAAUGAAAAGUCUAAUUUGGUGUAUGUUAGAGGUUGAAAUCACUUGUUGUACAAUGUGUUAACAUAGUGAAUAUUCUUUUUGAGCAAGGCCCUAAAAAUGUAGGGAAAACGAACUACAUAAAAUAUAUAAUGUAUUCAUCGUUUUUUUUUUUUGCCUUGUUCUUUUUCAGUGCUUGAUGCAGUUGAAACUAAUCUUAAUACUGCUUGUUUUUUCCCUACAAAUAUCAAUUUUGGAGUCAACAAAGUGAGACCGAUUGCGAGUAAAGGAGGUUCUUGAUGAGUGAACAAAAACAUAAAGAUGAUGGGUGAAUGUUAGUGAUUUAGCAACGUGACUUGACAGAGGCAAUUGUGUUAGUUAGCUGGCUUGUUAUAAUUAGUUUGAGUUAAUUAUAUUUGAAAUAGUAUGUAUAAAUACUCUUGAUGUAAAAAGAGCUUAAAUCAAUGUAUCGGUUUUUAUCUAUUGUUCAAAGUUCGUCUACUGAGUUCUAAGUUUCAUUUUGUGAUUGUCAAAAUUUAUUUUCUUUUCACUACAUAUUUUAGUCUUUUCUUUUAUUUCCAUCUUUUCACUCAACCAAUCACAUUCUUAGCGUGAUUAGAUUGCGGAAUUCAAUAGAGGCAAAAAGCGAAAGAGUUGUAUUAGAAUUACUAAAAAUAUCGAGAGAGUUUGACAUUAAAAUUCUAAUAUUAGAUCUCUAAGUUUAUCAAGUUAGGUGAUAUAUACUUAAGAACAUUAAUGAAACUGUAGGGUUGUAUAUGCAAAUAACCGAAAGAAAUUAGAAGCCUUAGCUAAAUCAUAUUUAAGUAACAUGCAUGUUUUGGAUGUAUUUUAACACGCAAAUUACGUAUACAUGAUUCAAACACCAAAGCAUCAUUUAUAUGUUAUAUAAAAUAAGCUUAUGCCUUAUCUUCAAUUUUAUAUUGCCACAAAUCCCAUCUUUCCAUCCACCACAAAUCCCAUCAUCAUGCAUGUUUUGGAUGUAUUUCAACAUGUGUUCUAUGCUCUCUUGGUGGCUUUGGCGAAAAGGGAGAUUCAAUCCUCUAUGAUUAAGGUGGGUAGGUGCUGGUAAAACUUCAUAUGUGCAUUUCCACAUGAAAAUUUUAGCUUUGGAGGCAGCUUGCUUUUCCUUUUCUUAUCUGCAUGUUGAGCAUGUUGGGUUAAUGUGCUUCUUCCUGUUACCAAUUUCAUAAACACUUGUUACUGUCAACGCUCCGUAUUAUGUUAUAAUAUGUUUAUUUUUUAAAAUUAAACCAAAUAUAUAUUAUAAAAUUUUAUAAAUUUAAGUCUUCUAUUGUGUGGGAGAGUGCCUCUUAUUUUGAUCAAACAGUACACCUCGUCCCGGUGAGCAACAAGGCUUCGUCCCGAUGACAUAUCAAGCCAUGUCACGACGUGUAGUCCAAAUUUUUUGACUUUUUUUUCCCAGUUAAAUUUUGUUUUAGUAUCCCAUUUAAAUUCUGAUUAUCCUAGUGUUCUUGUAGUCAUAUAUGCUACGAAUUUCAACCUAUUUAGUUACUUCAGGUUUUACAACAACAAAAAUAUUUAGAUUGAGAGAAUUUUGUUCUUUGUUUCAAAAGAUUUUUCUUGCGGAGCUUCGGGUUUUUUUUUUAAUUCUCUCCAUUUUUUAUACUCUCCUUUAUUAUAGUGAAAUCUCCUUUUGCCUAUAGUUCUUUAUCCUUAUUUAAGGAGUUUUUUCACGUUAAAUUUUGCGUGUUCGAUCUUUUCAAUUCUAUUUAAUUUAGGGUCUGUUUGAUUGACGGAAUUGAUUUUCCGGAAAAUCAUUUCCAACUUUUCCAGCGUUUGAUUGGCGGAAAACAUUUUCCAUUUGGAAAAUGAACUCCAAAACAAGGGAAAAUGGGUUACAUUUUAAGGAAAAUGUCUUACCCUUUCAAUUUCCGUAAGACAUUUUCCGUGCUCUCUUCUCUAUCGCCUCCUUCAUCCCUUCCUUCAUUUCCGGUAGAAAAUUAUUUCUGUUUAUCGAUUUUCCAGUAAUUUGUUUUUUUAAUUAUUCAAUACUUAUUUUUUUAACAUAAUUACAAAUAAUUUAUUUGAUAUUAAUUUUUUUCAAUUUAUAACGAUUAAUAUUGUAGCUUAAUAAUUGAGUAUUAUUAUAAAUAAAUCAUUGCAAUAUAUGUAAAAAUAAUUUAAAAUAUAAAAAUUUAUUAAUAUAUAUUAAUAUAUGUAAAAACAACUUUUCCAGAAAAUAUUUUCAGGAAAUCUACCAAACAGCAGAAAAUAUUUUCUAGUAAAUCAUUUUACAGAAAAGUAAAACAUUUUCCAGAAAACAUUUUACUGGCAAUCAAACAGACCCUUACUUGUUCGUUGCAUACAGAGGUUAAUUUCUAAUAUAUUGAAAUAAGUGAAAACUAAUUUUUUUACCCUGUUCAUCACACUAGUAUUGUAUAUUUAAUUAUUUCUUAAAAUUUUCAUAAAUUUUAUAACGUUUCACUAAAAUUAUGGUUAUGAAAUUAAGACAUAAUAAUAUAUAAGUUUAAUUAAAAACAUGAUAAUUGAUAUUAGAUUGAAUUUGAAUAAAUAAUAUUUUAAAAUAUAAUUUUAUAUAUAAUUUCUAACUUAAUUUUAAUUGUUAAUUAUUGAAUGUAAAUUGUUGAUUAAAUUUAAAUAUUGUAAUUACUAAUGAAUUUAUUGCAACACUAUUUAUAUUUUUAAAUAUCUAUUUCAAUCUUAUUAAUGUAUGUGACUGCUGCAAUUAAAACUCAUUCUGCAAUUCUAUGCCAUAUGCAACAAUUUUUAUUGUAAUCACUACAACAAAAUAGGCCAACGAUGACAUUUUUUUUACUUAGGACGACGUAGAAAAAAUUGACAUAGAUUAUCUCGACGAUUCCAAAAACAUCGUUGUUAGCACCGUUAGUAUAGGUACCGCAACGCUUUGGAAAAAGCGUUAGCAUAAUUCAAUAUAGGGCGUCGACCUUUUUGAAAGGUUGGCAAAGAUCUAGUCAAUGCCAACCUUUAAAAAAGGUUGGGAUAGGAGGAAAUAAGUGACCCAAAAAAGGUCGGAAUAAAGCAUUCAUAUACCUACUUUUAAAGAGUUGGGAUAGACCACUCUAUGCCACCUUAAAAAGGUUGAGAUUGACUCGUCUAAGGAAACUUUAAACAGGUUAGGAUAAGCCUUACCUGUGCCAACACCUUACAUAGUUGGUUUAGAUCCCAUUUUUUUAUGACUUUUUUUCCCGACUUUUGAAGAGCCUAUUUUGGUGAAAUAUAAGCAAAUUUGUAUGUGUUGAGUUUGGAUAAGUUCGAGACGAUAUUAAUUGAAUAGUUAACUAACAUAUACUAAUCAUAUUAAUACAAAAUUACCACUGAAUAAUGAACUUAUUAGUUUAUAUACAAAAUCCUAAUAGAAGCAGUCAACACGUUGACAACAUGGUAUUAGUUUGUUGUCCAUUACAUCACUUGGUAAUUUGCAUUCAGUGAAUGUGUUGCCAACAUGUUGUUUACCUGUUUCCAAUGACAUCAAAAAAUUCUGGGACAAUUGCAUUCAUCAACUGCUCUAACAUAUAUAAUAUGCAGCAAGCCUCAUUCAUCAUCAUCCGAACUAAAUGCCUCAUCAUCAGGCCUUCUAGUUUAAAAUUCAACUACAUUAACAAGUGCUAAAGUAACAAUGUAAUUUUUCUAUUUAAAUGAGUUAGAUGAGAAACAACAUGAACACAUGGGAAGAAUAUUUCAGUAAUAGCCAAAGAAUCAUAAAUUGAAGCUAAAUCAACAAUUUUCAUCAGUAUAUCCAUUAAUUAUUGGUUGAGAAAACAAUGAAGACAUCAAAUAAGAAGCUAACGUUCAGUUACAACACAAACAAAUAGCCAAAUAACAACAAUCGAUCUAUAUUAAACCAUCAGGAAACUUAUUGACAAUCUAGUUCUAUUAGUAAGUAUUCACUUACUCGAUGUCCCGUUUACCAUACAAUCGUUGAGGAGAGCCUUAUACUUCUUCUUACGAGCAUCCAUCAUAAGCCUUCUUCAACAACCCAUUUCGUCGCUUAGAGAAGGUGACUUUCCCUAAAAGGAUGCAUUCAUUUUUAAGGCUUCCCACUUUCAAUUGUCUUGCAACAUAUUAAUAUAUAGUAAAGGGUUUGGUUUGCAAUUGUUUAUAACAUGAUUAAUACCUUGGAUUGAAAAUCGUUUUUCGAACAUAGCUGCGAUGUUUAGUUCUGCAACAAAUUCAGUUAUGGACCCAAUGAUGAAAAGUCUACCAUCGACAUUUAAGUAGACAAGGUUUCUUUGGAGGUAGGCUGCUCCAACACAAUCCAGAACAACAUCAACACAUGCCAUUAAUGGUGGAAGACAAAAUUUCUCUUCUUUUCAAUGUUAAAAACCUCUAACAAAGUCGAUUUUAAACACAAACCCUAAAAGCUUAAAACAACAAAAAAAAAAUACUCACCAAAAAUUAAGAAGAAAAAAUACUUCAAAUGGUUCUGGUUGAGCUCAUAUAUAUAAAGGAAAAUUGUGUAUAGAUAUUCAAUGGAAAUUAUAUUUUAAGGAAAAUCCAGAUAGAUUUUCCAAUGGAAUUCACAAAUUAAGAAUAUACUACAGUCAAUAGAACAAAAAAUUUAUGGUUAAAGGAAGAAGACAGGAAUAAUCAAAGUUGUAAAAAUGGCAACAAAUGAACAAAAAAAAAUUCAAAAAGCCCUAAAAGGAUUAACAUAACAAAAAAGAAAGAACUUAUCUGAUGAAACAAGUACAACCCAGAGAAAACAGGUGAGAAACAGCCCACAAGGAAAUGAAUAAACCCAGAGAAUGAUAAAGAACAGAAGAAGACUAAAGAAGGAAGGAGGGUUUGAUACUUUAAUUUAGAGGGUCGAGGGGUUUGAUUUUGGGAGAAGAAAUGAAAUAGGACCAAAAGGGUUUUGGGUAGAUGAAAAAUAAUAAUAUAAUUUUAAUUUAUUAAAAUAAUAUAUUCGAUUUAUUUAAAUUAUUCGAAUUUAAAAAUUUAACUUGAUUUGAACUUAAAAUUUAAAAAAAUUUCGAGUUGAUUCAUUUAAUUUGAAUAACUUGAAUCAAACAACUCAAAAUUUAAACUUUUUUUUUUGAUUUUUUCAAAUCGAAUCGAACACAGUUUUUGUUUUGUUUUUUUAGACAUAGUCAGAUUGGAUUUCCAUUUUUAAAAGCCGAAAAUAUUGAAUGGAAAUUCAGUUUGACGGUAUGUUUUUAAGUGUAAUUUAUUUAUUUUAAAGUUUUAAAAUUUAUUUUAAUUUUUAAUAAUAAUUAUAUGUAAUAGUAAAAUACAUGACAUUUUUUAAACAUGGAAAUAUCAUUUUAUUACAAAAACUGUGGAAAUAAUUUGAAAUCAUACCGGUAAAUGAAAAGACACGUCACCUGUAAUUUUCGCCUUAUUUCCCCCAGAGAAGAAGAAGAACAAAUCAGUUCAUUUGAUAUUUUCCUUUCGAGCUUGUCUUCUUUAUGUUACUAACUAACAAUGGAGUUGCAGAUAUCCUUAUUCCAGGUCCUCAUCACCUUCUUCCUGGUUUUGUUUAUGGCAGCAAUCACUAGUAUAAGGAAAUCUAAAGCUAGGAAUUACCUUUGAUCGGAAAUCUGCACCAGCUCGCCGGUCCUGGUCUACCCCAUCACACCCUACAUGACUUGGCUACGAAAUAUGGCGCCAUCAUGCACCUGCAACUCGGUCAAAUUUCCACUGUCGUCGUUUCUUCUGCAGAAAUGGCUAAAGAGAUUAUGAAAACCCAUGAUAUUGUCUUUGCUAAUAGGCCUGUUCUCGCUUCGGCUAAGAUUAUAACUUACGGGUGCACUGAUAUUGUCUUUUC